UAUUAAUUCUUCAUUAAUGAGUUAUUAAUUUAUGAACUUUUACACAGUUAUGUUCAAUUAACCAAGUUAUUAGUGUUCAGUGAUAGUAGUAAUAGUUUAGUGUACGAAGAGGAGCAAUAAAUACGGUGGAUGGGGUAAAGUGAAAAGUCAACGAAGUUCAGUAAAAUAUUGUGGGGCGAUUUGGAAAUAAAAUUUGGAUCAAUUUAUCGAAAUGUGAUGUGGAACAAUUUGGAAAUAAUUAAAAUUUAAGUUAUCAGUUGUUGAGUACGUUGAGGCACGUGUCUAAGCGAAAAAAAGGAUAAUAUAGGAAAGUUGAUAGGACGAAAACGAGUGUGCAACGAUAUAGGACAGGUGAAACGAGGGUUUGAACGUUUUCUAUGGGUGUAGGGAGAUGGACGUGAGACCGAUAGGUACUAGGUAUCCGGAUGUUGGACAUUCGUAGGAUCUCUUGACGCGUGCAUCGAUGUCCAACUCUCCCGAGGGAAAUCCACUUCAUGAUGGGAAUCCCAUUAUUUCCCGAGCGAUAUAAAAGUAGGUAGGUAGUCCAGUCAUUCUGGUACUGUCCAGUUGAGGCUAUUCUCUGCCACCCCGACUAGCCAUCCCUCUAUUCUUUUUCUCUUUCUUUCUUUCUCUCUUUUUUCUCUCUCUCUACA
Leptopilina heterotoma is the source of this 653-nucleotide long non-coding RNA. RefSeq lists it as uncharacterized. The record is from RefSeq and is a predicted model, not a curated record. The transcript is spliced from 3 exons. Lineage: Eukaryota; Metazoa; Arthropoda; Insecta; Hymenoptera; Figitidae.